Long non-coding RNA from Daucus carota subsp. sativus, 2020 nucleotides. RefSeq lists it as uncharacterized. NCBI's taxonomy places the organism in Eukaryota, Viridiplantae, Streptophyta, Magnoliopsida, Apiales, Apiaceae. The transcript has 3 exons. The record is from RefSeq and is a predicted model, not a curated record.
GAUAAACUCGUCGAUCCCUCACCUCUCCUCGCAGUAGCGACCCCCAUUUCCACAUCUAACCUCACACUUCCGACCUCACAAUAUGAUAUCUCAGACAAACAUCUCUCUCACCUCACUGUGGCGACCUCCAUUUCCACAUCUCACCUCACAACAUAAUAUCUCAAAUUAGGGUUUUGAUGUUCUCAAUUUAGAGAUUUAGGGCACUUCUCAACAUCACUUCUCGAUUGAGAUUUUGAUUCUCAGUUCAACUUCUCUGUUCUUCACUUCUUAAUCAGGGCAUCUCAACAUAUAGGGCAUCUCAUAGGUUGAUGACUACCUCAACUUCUCCUCCUACCCAAAGCGUAGGUCCCACCGAAGGUCUGCAAGCGAUUCGAGCGCAUUUCUUGAGCAGGUGAGUGUGGACCACGAAGAAGAAUGCAAAAUAAGACCCUUGGCACCAGGCUCCAGGUCUGUGAGGAUAUACUGGAGUUCCUUUACUUCAUAGAAUGAAGAUGAAAUCAAUCAUUAACAAAGAAGGGCCAAAUAGGCAUGCCUUGAAGAGAGGAACUCCUAUAAUGGGUGGACUGUUAUUUGUACCAAUUGGCGUGAUCGUUGCAGAAGUCAUAGUUGGUUUCUCUUCUAUUGAAGUAUCUGCUGUGGCUGUCGCAACUCUGUCAUUUGCGGCAAUUGGGCUACUUGAUGACUCGUUAAGUCUUAUCAACAAGCAUAAUGGUGGUUUAUCUUCCUGGACAAGAAUUGUCUUGGAGGUAAGUGCUAUUUCUUGUUUGUAAUUAAGUUUUGUUAUUCCCAGAAGUAUUAUUACAAAGCAUUAAAAGUUCUUAACAUAUGCAAUCCGACUGAUUCAUAACCAUCAUAACAUUACUACAUUGGUAAAAUUUUGGACAUUGCCGAGUUCUAUAGUGGAUCUGUUUGAUAGGAUUUUUGUAGAGGGGAAACAAACUAACCUAUCUAGGGAGAGUUGCUGGACUGGCUUGAUGAGAGCCUGACACUUGGCUCUUCUUCCAGCAAUAAAAGAAAAACUGAGAAAGAAAUGUGAAUGUCUGAUACUUGCAAGGAUUUGGAUAUAAAAAGGAAAAGUUGUUAGCGAUUAUGUAUUGGAUCUCAUAUUAUAAUUUCAAGGUAUUGCCUUCUAAAUUACAUUAUAUUUAUGGUAUGCAUGAUAUCCUGUUACUGUUUUGCAUUAUUCUCAAUUAAGUGUUCAAUUUAGUGACAGGUUGUCUAGACAUACCUGUCAAGGCUUAAGUGAAGAACUUGAGAGUUAUGAAGUCUGACCAUGUCCAGACCUGCAUUAGGGUGCUAGUAUUGAAAAAGCUCCAAUGGAUCGCGACUUCUCAGGAAAUCAUGAUGAUGAAGACGUAGAUGAAGAAGCAGAUCAAUUUCCCUUGUAAUUGAUGCAAGGUUUCUAACUGCUGUAGUAAUUGAUUUUGCAGCGUAAAACUUAUCCUAUCAGUUAUGAAUGGUACCAGUUGUGAAUGGUGUAUGAUGAAGUUUGUUUACAGUGUCUUUCGAAUUUGAGUUUACAUUAAAUUGCAAAGUUCAGUAUAGUUAGUUUGGGUUGUUGUGAUUGGAUUGGGUUAUUUUGAUUUGGUUACAGGUGGGAUAGUAGUAUAUAAGCUAGGUCAUGGCGUUUUUUUUUGGUAAUAUUAUUGAUAAAUUUGGCUGUUUUCGGUCAAAUUUAUAAAUUUGACCACCCAACUUCAGUCAAAUUUAUAAAUUUGACUACAACUUUCUAGUCAAAAAUAUAAAAUUGACCAACUGAAAUAAGUGGUCAAAUUUAUAAAUAUGACCGGAUAUAAGUGGUCGAAAAAAUAAAUUUGACCGAGUUGGUCAAAUUAAUUUAAAAAUAGGCGGGAAAUUUGAAUUUUCGUGAAAAUUCGAAGUUCGAAAACACUAGUCAAAAUUGACCGCAAACGGUCGAAAUUGGCGGUCAAUUUUAAACGGUCAAAACUAAUCGGUCAAUUUUAUCCGGUCAAAAUUAACUAUUUUUGACCGAAAAUGACUAAAAUCCACUAAGCUAUGA